GGGAUGAUGGCUCAGUGGUAGAGCACUUGCCUUGCAUGCAUGAGGCCCUGGGUUCGAUUCCCCAGCACCACA
Molecule: non-coding RNA, 72 nt
Organism: Dipodomys ordii (Ord's kangaroo rat)
Lineage: Eukaryota; Metazoa; Chordata; Mammalia; Rodentia; Heteromyidae
Source: Rfam